Molecule: unclassified non-coding RNA, 210 nt
Filed under: plant metagenome
Description: partial contains small subunit ribosomal RNA, internal transcribed spacer 1, and 5.8S ribosomal RNA
Source: RNAcentral
UCUCCGUUGGUGAACCAGCGGAGGGCUCAUUACUGGAAUCGCAAGAUCCCACAACCCCUGUGAACCUACCGAAACGGUGCCUCUGCUGGCCGCCGGCACCUCGCCGGGCGCUGAUCCCGCCGGCGGCCCCCUAUUCUUGUCUUUGCAGCGUGACAUCUCAGUAUCCCACAAAACAAGUAAAAACUUUCAACAACGGAUCUCUUGGCUCUA